CAAACAUGCAUGCAUGAACAACAGUUGAAUUUUAACCCUAACACUAAAGCAUCAGGCGGGUAUGUAAUAGUAUUUAAGGCCAGUUUACUGUGAUCUCCAACAAUUAUUCAUUUUUGGCCAAAGAAAAAAGAAGUACGAAGGGCUUAAUUUUAAAGGUUUUAAUCUGUGGUUGCGACACCAGUUUUGUCUCCAGUUAUUUUGUCUCUUGAAUAUGUUGUAUUUCUUUGCCUCUUGUUCAUUUGUUCGUGUGUUGUUUUUCUUUCUUUCUUGGUUAAUUUUAAAACUGAAGGGUGUAGAUGAAAAACCCAUGUCAGACAAUAAUUCUCAAAGAAAAUAUGAUGUUUUCAUUUGUUUUAGGGGUGCAGACAUUCGCCGUGGCAUUCUUAGUCAUAUGAUAGAAAGUUUUGAAAGGAACAAAAUAAAUGCAUUUGUAGAUGAUAAACUUGAGAGAGGGAAUGAAAUAUGGCCAUCGCUUGUUCGAGCAAUUGAAGGAUCAUUCAUUUCAUUGAUAAUAUUCUCACAGGACUAUGCUUCGUCUAGCUGGUGUUUAGAUGAACUUGUAACAAUACUUGAAUGCAGAGAGAAAUAUGGACAGAUUGUAAUCCCUGUUUACUAUCAUGUAAAUCCCACACAUGUACGACGUCAAUUGGAGAGUUAUGAAAUUGCAUUUGUUGAUCAUGAUAAGGUUCGGAUUUGGAGACGUGCUUUGAAUAAAUCUACUCAUCUGUGCGGAGUUGAAUCAUCGAAAUUUCGAAACGAUGCCGAGUUGCUUAAAGAAAUUGUCAAUCUUGUGAUGAUGAAGCUGGGUAAACCCUUGGUCAACUCAAAAGGACUCAUUGGGAUCAAAUCGAGAUUAUAAUAGUGGAUCACUAAGGCUAGAUGAUGCAAUUCAAAUUCUAGAGUACGUUGUUAGCAUGAGGGAGGAGAAGCUAGGGACAGAAAAUCCUGAAGUGGAUGAUGAGAAGAGAAGUUUUCUUUAUCGGCAAAGAUUAGUUUGUUAGUUUUAUUAAAAUUGUCGGUUGGGGAGUUCAAACUCACCACUUUUAUCUUUCUUUCUUCCUUUAUCCUUUCUUAAUCACUUAAUCAAUCUUAUAUAUCUGAUAACAAGAAAAGGUUAGCUGAAUUGUUGAAGGAAGUAGGGAGAGUUGUGGAGCAGAAAAGCCGGGUCACUUGAGAACCUAGCUUCUUGAUGGCAAUAUUCACGCUGUAAACAACGUUGUCAUCAAGGCCUGAUGACGAUGUCUAUCAAUGAUUCAUGAAAGAAAAUAAGUGCUUUGCAGGAACUCAAAGUGGAACAAGCUAAAAUGUAGAAGAGAUAAACCUCGGACACUAUUAAUUUAUUGGGUACAAUUGAAUGAUUGAAGAGUGUAAUCUUUGAGUUAAAUUAUUAUUUAAAAAGUUAUAUGGUUACAGGACUUUUUUUUCCUCCCUUUGUUGAGACUCUACAUUGCCGAUUAGUACAAUGGUUGGCAAUUCCGUAUAUCUUGUUUUCUGAAACUGAUUUUUGAUAUUGGUUGAAAUAAACAAUUUUGAU
Molecule: long non-coding RNA, 1534 nt
Organism: Glycine soja
Lineage: Eukaryota; Viridiplantae; Streptophyta; Magnoliopsida; Fabales; Fabaceae
Exons: 3
Source: RefSeq, a predicted model, not a curated record